This 305-nucleotide unclassified non-coding RNA is filed under the name plant metagenome. RNAcentral's name for it is "partial contains 5.8S ribosomal RNA, internal transcribed spacer 2, and large subunit ribosomal RNA". The stretch from base 1 to 104 matches the Rfam family "5.8S ribosomal RNA", at positions 51 to 154 of the family's 154-position model. The record is from RNAcentral.
AAAUGCGAUAAGUAAUGUGAAUUGCAGAAUUCAGUGAGUCAUCGAAUCUUUGAACGCACAUUGCGCCCGCCAGUAUUCUGGCGGGCAUGCCUGUCCGAGCGUCAUUUCAACCAUCAAGCCCCCGGGCUUGUGUUGGGGACCUGCGGCUGCCCGCAGGCCCUGAAAACCAGUGGCGGGCUCGCUGUCACACCGAGCGUAGUAGCAAUCACCUCGCUCAGGGCGUGCUGCGGGUUCCGGCCGUUAAACAGCCUUACAAAACCCAAGGUUGACCUCGGAUCAGGUAGGAAGACCCGCUGAACUUAAGC